Molecule: ribosomal RNA, 490 nt
Filed under: uncultured bacterium
Lineage: Bacteria
Description: partial 16S ribosomal RNA
Rfam family: Bacterial small subunit ribosomal RNA
Source: RNAcentral
GAUGAACGCUAGCGGCAGGCCUAAUACAUGCAAGUCGAACGGGAUCCACAUCACAGCUUGCUUUCGUCUGGGUAGAGUGGCGCACGGGUGCGUAACGCGUGAGCAACCUACCCUUGUCAGGGGGAUAGCCCGGCGAAAGUCGGAUUAAUACCGCAUUACAUCAUUUAGAUGCAUCUUUCGAUGAUCAAAGAUUUAUCAGACAAGGAUGGGCUCGCGUGCCAUUAGCUGGUUGGUAAUGUAACGGCUUACCACGACUGCGAUGUCUAGGGGCACUGAGAGGAGAAUCCCCGACAUGAGAACAGGGCCAGCGACCAUACGACUAAGGGAGGCAGCAGUAAGGUACAGUGGGCAAUGGACGGAAGUCUGAACCAGCCAUGCCGCGUGCAGGAAGACGGCCCUAUGGGAUGUAAGCUGCUUUUAGACGGGAACAACCGUCGGUACGUGUACCGGUAUGACAGUACCGGAAGAAUAAGCACCGGCUAACUCCGUG